UCAGAGUCAAAUCAGAAGAUGUGAAAACGACAGGUUUCUUCAAGUCGGUGGAUGUAGAAUUAAAAUGUUUACCCAAUUUGCCAAACAACAGUACAAAAAAAUGAGAAGCACCCAAUGUGACUGACACGGGACUGCAGUAAUUCUGUUAUUUGGAGCGGUGUGACUUAGCGAUUAUAGAACUACUUUUGGUAAUUCGACAGAACAGACGCAAUCAAGAUUUUUGGGACUGUAUGUUUUGUUGGGGAUACAAUGUUGCGAAUUUAUCGGAUAAGUUGAUCAGAAUUAUUGCCUUUCGUUGUUGACACUGUAAUGAUCAUCCACCUUUUCUCCAGCAGUACUACACCAAGGGAAUAGGAACAGAAUUCAAUUCGACACAGGCUACAACUUAGUUCUCGAGGGAUUCAAUAUGUGAAACAAUCCUCCAGAACAUUUUGUUUUUAGACCGGGUUUGAAAUACAAUUCACAGUUUCUCCCUUUAAAAGCUUGAUACUUGUAACAACUUGGACUUCACAAUGAUUUGUUUUGAAAUCUAGAGCUAGUGUGUUAUUGUAAGGGUGUAAUAUCAAACUCACUAUCACUGACAGCUGUUGACGUCACCAUUACGGAGAAUAGCUUCAUUUUACAAAAAAGCCUGAACCUUUUAAUUGACCUUAAAUUCCACUAGCUGUCAGUGAGAUUUGAACCAAUGGCCACAAAGCAUUCACCUGAAAGAAAGUGGAGGGGAAUACUGUCCUCUGUGGAGUUAUUUCAGUGAGGUAGUUAUUUUUUACUAGCACAGGUGCAAUGUGUUAAAUGACCUUUUCUCUGUGCUGUAGAUCUCUAUAAAAAGAAGAGAAAGACGAGGUGAGACAGAUGGCUGGGGUGAGCAAUGUAGGCUUGACUAAGUUACUUCAGCAGAGAGCUGGCAUGGAUGAAACGGGCUGAAUGGUUACCUUCCAAACCGUAGCCAUUCUAUGAUUCCAUGGGAUAGGGGUGUGGGACUGGUAUUGGUUGUUUAAAGUAUUCAGAACCAGUUUUAUCCUUUCUAUAAACAAAGUUAAAUUCUAUUCGUCCAGCAUGACAUUUCAACCAUGCUUUUAAAACCUUAAAAUAAACUUGAGCAACAUUUGUGAUUAACCAGUGAACGGUCUCUGGUUGUCACUAAUGUUUGCUUUCAGCCUUGUUGGAGAUUGUCAUGUUUGCAACACUCAGUGCAAGCUCUUAGCCUGAAGAACUGGCUCCAAGGGGACUGGUUAACAAUGGGUUAUGCCCUGACAGACACCACUAGUGAUAUCCCAAGUUCCAGUUUCAGCUUCUGUCCAGAAAAGGUCAGGUAAUAAUGAUUUACUGAUAUAGUGGUACAGAUAUUAGGGGAAGAAGGAGAGUUUGUUCAAUCUUGAUACCAAUUUGUUUAUAAGAACUUCAGCCCCAAUUUCUGAAGGCCUGUUGUCUAAUUCUUAUCACUGGAGAGGGUUGCUUGGAAAGUGACAUGUGGUCAAUCGUUAUUAACAUUAAUGUCUUGGUCUGGUCAAUACUAGUACAUAUAACUCCCAGUGGAAUGGGUAUGAUUGCAGCCACUACUGUAAACAGAGAAAAACUGAAAUAGUGGCACAGAUGCUAGUAUGUUGUCACACAAGUCAGUCUCUAUUUACAUGUGCACAGCUGUGACCAGCUGGUUUAGAGUCAGUCCUGAAGCUAAGAGACUCUCUGAAUCCCAUGUUUAUAUCUGUCAGUCAGGGCUUCUUGAUUAGCCCAGAUUAACAACACCAAUCAAGGAUCUCAUAGACAAUAAGAUCCACCUCAUUCCAAUCACUACAAAAACCAAGACUAUUUGGCCAAUUCUAGUGACCUUGCACUUCCUGUGCCUUAAAACUCCUCUUUGUAACAAUCUUCAUUUAUCUGAAUGAUAAUUUAUCCAAAACGGUAUCGUCACAAGUUUGACCCAUCUUUGGCUGUAGAUCUGAAUUUCAUGAAAGAUCAUCUUAAAGGGUCAAAGAACAGUGCAGGGACAGAGGAUCUCACAGAAAAAAUUCCAAGGAGCAGCAGGGGGUGUGUCUUAGUCACAUAAAGGGCCACUUGGUUCUUUGGUUUCCUACGACUUGGAAUCAAUAAAUAAAUUAUAGAAUAGAGGUCAAAUAUUACUCACAACAUCCUAAGAUAUCUGAAAUGCUGCUUCAGGAUGUCAAUAAUAAGCAAGGGUGUCAGUAGCCUGUGAAGACAAUAGCUUUGAUCAAUGGGUCAUACAAAACGUGUAAAUAAUUUGGAAAGUUGUGGAUUUCCACAUUUAGAAAUAUUUAUAGCAGAAUUGCAACUAAAGUGGUAUUGCAUGAUCAGUGCAAUAACAUGCAUUCAUGGCAAUGGGCCAUUGGAUUUCAACUGCACAGGUCGGGCAGAAAGCCAAAAACUGAAGAACCUUCAGCAUACUCACAGUUCCUAAGAAAUUGGGAACCAAUGCUUUGACAGAUUUCAUGGCUCUCAUAUUUGAUACAAAUUCAGUACAAAUUGGUAUUCUACAUGAUAAAGUUUAAUAAAAUGUUUAAAGUUAGUAAUACAUCAUGCCAUUUUACUGUUGUCACUUCCUUUACGAUGUAUUAUCCAUGACUGAGAUGAAGAGCAGAGGACCUGCUUCCUGGCUCCCAUUAUUGUUUCUGCAAGGAAUGAGAGAGAGUAGGUGUGUCUUGCUGCAUAUAUCCUGUUUACUCCUCAGAUUCAAUGGAAUAACCUUUGGCCAAAUGGUAGUUCCUUCUCGAAGCAACUACUUGAAUAUCAGCUGCAAUGCUGAACACUGUCUGAAAUUUUGCAAAGUAUUUCCCCUGCCAAGUUCCAUUUAUUAACUCUCAACCUGCCAGAGUUCCAGAGGAGGACAUGAAGAUGCAACAAAUAGAGAAAAUUACACUUUGAAUGGGAUAUAAAGAGGCUACAAGGAGAUAUCAAUUGAAUAAAAUCAAAGAGCUGAGAGUUGACAAUUGUCACACAAAGGCCAGUGGCAGAAACCUGUUACUUAAGGAGACAUCAUCCAAUGAUCAAAGGACAACUAAUGACGACAGCCAAAGAUCAACUCAAUACCUCCUUAUUGGCAGGAAAAAGAUUCUUCAAGUUGUUUUUCACUAUCCUUGGAAUCUUUAUUUCAAAUUUAUAGCCUUAGGAAUCAAGAUUAUGAACAUGAACUGUUGGAAUGGUUGUUUCUGUGGCAUUAUCACUGUGCUAGGCUGCCAGUUGACAUAUAGUAAUUCGGUAUAAUACUUUCUGCAUGGAAAGCAUCUCAUUUAAUUGAGUAAAUAUGCAAUACCUCUCUAAAAUUAAAAUAUAUAGACUAAUCAAUCCAACAUCUGAAUAUAAUGAGUUCACAGUGCAGAAUUAUUCCUGUUACUUUAUUAAAUUUUGGAUACGUUGAAUUUU
Chiloscyllium plagiosum (whitespotted bambooshark) is the source of this 3378-nucleotide long non-coding RNA. RefSeq lists it as uncharacterized. The record is from RefSeq and is a predicted model, not a curated record. Lineage: Eukaryota; Metazoa; Chordata; Chondrichthyes; Orectolobiformes; Hemiscylliidae.